Long non-coding RNA from Peromyscus californicus insignis, 2583 nucleotides. RefSeq lists it as uncharacterized. The transcript has 5 exons. The record is from RefSeq and is a predicted model, not a curated record. Lineage: Eukaryota; Metazoa; Chordata; Mammalia; Rodentia; Cricetidae.
GCGGCGAGCGCGUAUCGGAGGCGCAUCCAUCAGCGGAGCCAACGGCUGGGAGAACAGGUGAACUGGAUCGGUUCCAUGGACCCAGCCGUUCUUCUUCCUAGGGACCUGAGCGCAGUGCUGGUUUGUGGUGUUGAAGAUCGAAUUGAGGGCCUUGUACAAGAUAGGUUCCUCUCACUGCCUCAUGUGUGUGGAGAAGAUAGACGCUCUCAUCUACUGCUCCACUAUCACGAACGCCUGCCUGUCACCAUCCUCCCUCUAAUGAUGGGUGUGGAUUCUAAUCCUCUGUAACUACCAGGAUGACCUUAAAUUCAGAGAUCUGCCUCCUCCUACCUCCUGUAGAGUGCUGGGAUUAAAGGUGUGUGCCACCACGUCCUUCUAUAAAUUGCUUUGGUCACAGUGUUUUGUUGAAAAAGGAAAGUAACUAAGACAGGGAUUCUGAGUCAGUUCUUCUGACUCAGAUGGCUUUGCAUUUCCUGCAGUAGCCAUCCCCAGGCAUUUGCAGAUGGCCAUCAAGUAUCUAAUAGAGUUUCUGUGUACCGUAGCAGUCUUGGAACUCACUUUGUAGACCAGGCUGGUCUGAACUCAGAGAUUCGCCUGUCUCUGCCUCCCAAGUGCUGGGAUUAAAGGCAUGUGCCACCACUGACCAGCCAAAUCCCAAAAUCUUAUUAAAGGGGAAAAAAAAGGUAUGUAUAGGGGGAGUUAGCAUCUUUAAACCUUAGUUAGGGUUUCUAUUGCUGUGAUGAAAACACCAUGACUAAAAAAGCAAGUUGGGGAGGAAAGGGUUUAUCUGACUUACACUUUCAGAUCACUGUUCAUCAUCAAAGGAAGUCAGGACAGAAACUAAAACAGGGCAGGCACCUGGAGGCAGGAGUUGAUGCAGAGGCCAUGGAGGGGUGCUGCUUACUAGCUUGCUCCUCAUGGCUUGCUCAGCCUGCUUUCUUACAGAACCCAGGACCUCCAGCCCAGGGGUGUCCCUACUGACAGUGGACUGGGCCCUCCCCUAUCAAUCACUCAUUAAGAAAAUACCCUACAGCCAGAUCUUUUUAUUUUUAUUUAAUGUCAAAUGCUGUUUAUUGAAGGAGGGAAAAGGUCUUAAAUACAGGCUUACAGCACAAUGGGAGAACCCUGGAGGGCAGAAGUUCACUACUUACAUCUAAGCUGUUAACGGAUACACAGACAAGGAACUUCCCUUAAGCAUUCAGGAGGGUGGAACCCGGCAGGGAAUUAGCACAGGGAGGAUAUCAAGGUCAAGGUCAGCAAGCAAGGCAACAGUUACCCAAAACAGGGGCCAGGACCCUACAGGUCCCCCUUUUACUAAAAAAUGAGCUUCUGACUUAGGUUGUGUGGGAUGUCAGCAGGUCACCUUACUCAUCAUGGAGAUGCCUGCCCAGGCCACACAGGUGCUCUGUCUUAGGUUGGUGAGUGCCCCCCGGAUAUUACCCAUCUCUGAAUACUCAUUAUCAUACAGGCUCAAUUGUGUGUGAGCUGUACAGCCAGAUCUUAUGGAGAUAUUUUUCUCAACUGAGGUUCCCUCUUCAGAUAACUCUAGCUCAUCACACUGACACAGAACUAGCCAGCACUAUGGAGGGGCCCCCAAACAGCUUGACCAUGCAGCAGCCAUGACAGGGUUAGGGACCCAGACACAGCUUCUGUGACAGGUUUGCUGGCAGGCAACACCCAGAUCCAGGAAAAUCCUUAAGCUGACACCACCCAGGGAUCCACCCAGGGAUGGGGAAAGUACCUGACAUCCCAAACAUUCCAACCAUUAGAUAAGGUGGCCAGAUGUCCUUGAGUCUAGCACACAUCUAUUUUUGUUUUACAGAUACCCCUAGACAAUUGUCAUCAUCCUGAACUCUGGAAAUCCCUCUCACCCCAACCUCUGCUAUGAUAAAAACCCCACCCCACCUGAGCUCUUUGCUCUCACUGCUGUGUCAGACAGAGGGACCAAGCUCCAGAGCUUGAAAUAAAGGCUCUUUGCUUUUAUACUUGGGAUUCAGUCUCCAUGGUAGUCUUUUUGGGGUUCCCCGUGAUCUGGGCAUAACCAGCACAAAGCCCAAUAUACUCUUAUCACUGAGGGACAAGGGAUGUACCUGACACAUCUGACCACAUUACAUGUAAAAACAUAGUUUUUCAUACUGGAUGACUUAGAGGGGCCCCAAAACUGCUUGACCACAUAGCUGCCAUGACAAGCUUAGAGGCCCAAGCACAGCUUCUGGCAACACCCACACCCAGGAAAAGCCAUAAGCUGACCCCACCCAGGGGUGGCCUACAUCUAAGGGGAAGUACCUGACAUCCCAAACAUUCCAACCAUUAGAUAAGGUGGCCAGAUGUCCCCAAGUCUAGCACACACCUAUUUUUGUUUCACUGAUAUCCCUAGACAAAUGUCAGCCAAUCAGGGUCCUGAACCUUGGAAAUGCCCUCACCCAACCACUGCUAUGAUAAAAACUCUACCUCGCCUUGACUCAGGGCUCUCUGCUCUCACCACUGCAUUGGACAGACAGAGAGACCAAGGCCUGGAGCUUAUAAUAAAGGCUCUCUGCUUUUACAUGUGGGAUUCCAUCUCUGUGGUGGUCUUUUGGGCAU